Molecule: transfer RNA, 73 nt
Filed under: Salmo salar (Atlantic salmon)
Lineage: Eukaryota; Metazoa; Chordata; Actinopteri; Salmoniformes; Salmonidae
Rfam family: tRNA
About the family: Transfer RNA (tRNA) molecules are approximately 80 nucleotides in length. Their secondary structure includes four short double-helical elements and three loops (D, anti-codon, and T loops).
Source: Rfam by way of RNAcentral
UUCCCUGUGGCUCAGUUGGUAGAGCAUGGUGUUCGCAACGCCAGGGUUGUGGGUUCGAUUCCCACGGGGGACC